This is a non-coding RNA of Salmo salar (Atlantic salmon), 1084 nucleotides long. Lineage: Eukaryota; Metazoa; Chordata; Actinopteri; Salmoniformes; Salmonidae. The record is from RefSeq and is a predicted model, not a curated record.
CAGUUACAGACCAGCGACAGCAACCUGACUGCAGAGAGAGACCAGCUACAGACUAGCAACAACACGCUGACCAAAGAGAGAGACCAGCUACAGAUCAGAUACAACACCCUGACCAGAGAGAGGGACCAGCUACAGAUCAGAUACAACACCCUGACCAGAGAGAGGGACCAGCUACAGACCAGAUACAACUCCCUGACCAGAGAGAGAGACCAGCUACAAUCUUUAGUUGAGAAAGUGUGUCCUCAAGGAUGGAAAAAGCUUGGUAGCAGUUGUUACUACGUCUCUACUGAGUACAAAUCCUGGGAGGAGAGCAGACAGGACUGCAGAAAUAGAGGAGCACACCUGGUGGUUAUCAACAGCCAAGAGAAACAGACAUUAGUCAAUUGGUUAUGCGGGGUAAAGAACUAUGUCUGGAUUGGUCUGACUGACUCUGUUUCUGAGAGGACCUGGAAAUGGGUGGACGACACACCACUGACCAAAAAGUAUUGGAACAGUGGAGAGCCUAAUGGUGGAAGAGCUGAGAACUGUGUAUAUUUCUACUCCUGGUCAUCAGACACAGGAGAAUGGUGGGACUAUGACUGUUCCCAUCAAUACAGAUGGAUCUGUGAGAAAUAGGAUUCAUCCUCGGUACUCUCAACUGCUAAAUAGGAUUAUGAUAAGUACUAUCAAUCGUAAACUAUUUUCUGCUUAUUCUAUUUACCUUGUCAAGUACAUACAAUAUAUUACGAUGCAAAUGUAUAAUACAUUAUAAUAAAAAUAACAAAAAAUAUACAAUAACAAUACAAUGAACUGAUAACAGAAUAACUUUUCUGUCUGUUGUUGUGGAAAUUCACCUCUAAGGACUCAAAUUCAAAGGAAAUGAAUCAAUCUUUAUUAUCUCAGUCAUCGAGGUUCACUGACUCAAUACAAGGCUGAUGUUAAUUUUUUUUUUUAUUACUUUUUAGUUUAGUCUACUUGCUAAAUGUUUUUGUGAACUCUUCUUGAACUGCACUGUUAGUUGAGGGCUUGUAAGUAAGCAUUUCACGGUAAAGUCUACACUUCUUGUAUUCGGAGCAUGUGACUAAUAAAGUUUGAUUUGAUUUGA